RNAcentral lists this ribosomal RNA (458 nucleotides) under uncultured bacterium. RNAcentral's name for it is "partial 16S ribosomal RNA". It matches the Rfam family "Bacterial small subunit ribosomal RNA", at positions 338 to 795 of the family's 1533-position model. The record is from RNAcentral.
CCUACGGGAGGCAGCAGUGAGGAAUAUUGGUCAAUGGGCGAGAGCCUGAACCAGCCAAGUCGCGUGAGGGAGUACUGCCCUAUGGGUUGUAAACCUCUUUUGUCGGGGAGCACAAGCCGGACGUGUCCGGCUGUGAGAGUACCCGAAGAAAAAGCAUCGGCUAACUCCGUGCCAGCAGCCGCGGUAAUACGGAGGAUGCGAGCGUUAUCCGGAUUUAUUGGGUUUAAAGGGUGCGCAGGCGGAUUUUUAAGUCAGCGGUAAAAUCGUGGGGCUCAACCCCAUCCAGCCGUUGAAACUGGGGAUCUAGAGUGUGCGAGAGGUAUGCGGAAUGCGUGGUGUAGCGGUGAAAUGCAUAGAUAUCACGCAGAACCCCGAUUGCGAAGGCAGCAUACCGGUGCACAACUGACGCUCAGGCACGAAAGCGUGGGUAUCGAACAGGAUUAGAUACCCUUGUAGUC